Molecule: ribosomal RNA, 586 nt
Filed under: uncultured Lachnospiraceae bacterium
Lineage: Bacteria; Bacillati; Bacillota; Clostridia; Lachnospirales; Lachnospiraceae
Description: bacterial SSU rRNA
Rfam family: Bacterial small subunit ribosomal RNA
Source: RNAcentral
UAACGCGUGGGCAACCUGCCCUAUACAGGGGGAUAACAACCAGAAAUGGUUGCUAAUACCGCAUAAGCGCACAGGACCGCAUGGUCCGGUGUGAAAAACUCCGGUGGUAUAGGAUGGACCCGCGUUGGAUUAGCCAGUUGGCAGGGUAACGGCCUACCAAAGCGACGAUCCAUAGCCGGCCUGAGAGGGUGAACGGCCACAUUGGGACUGAGACACGGCCCAGACUCCUACGGGAGGCAGCAGUGGGGAAUAUUGCACAAUGGGGGAAACCCUGAUGCAGCGACGCCGCGUGAAGGAAGAAGUAUCUCGGUAUGUAAACUUCUAUCAGCAGGGAAGAUAGUGACGGUACCUGACUAAGAAGCCCCGGCUAACUACGUGCCAGCAGCCGCGGUAAUACGUAGGGGGCAAGCGUUAUCCGGAUUUACUGGGUGUAAAGGGAGCGUAGACGGAUUAGCAAGUCUGAUGUGAAAGGCAGGGGCUCAACCCCUGGACUGCAUUGGAAACUGCCAGUCUUGAGUGCCGGAGAGGUAAGCGGAAUUCCUAGUGUAGCGGUGAAAUGCGUAGAUAUUAGAAGGAACACCAGUGG